Molecule: RNA transcript, 2648 nt
Organism: Eleginops maclovinus (Patagonian blennie)
Lineage: Eukaryota; Metazoa; Chordata; Actinopteri; Perciformes; Eleginopidae
Gene: lin9
Gene name: lin-9 DREAM MuvB core complex component
Exons: 15
Source: RefSeq, a predicted model, not a curated record
GGUCUUUGAAAAAGCGGCGCGGCUAAUUCAAGAUGGCGGAGAUGGACCAGCUGUUAGACGAGAGCUCCUCAGCAGAGGCCCUUGUCAGUCUAAAAGAAGGCAGUUUGUCCAACACUCUGAAUGAAAAAAAUAACUUCCCAAGAGCUCACAACACCAGGGGACGACACGCCUCCCUCACAAUGGACACACCCACACGGAGCUCAAAGAGGAGCCGUUUGUUUCGGGAGGUGGAUGAGGUGUCGCCCCAGCAACGUGUCCCAUCCAGAUCCCCUCGGAGGAGCCAGAGGGUCAGCACCACACCACAGAAAUGUUCUAAUGUGGCGACACCAGAUAAGAAAGCCUCCCAGAAAAUAGGGUUGAGAUUAAGAAACCUCCUCAAGCUACCCAAAGCUCACAAAUGGUGCAUCUACGAAUGGUUCUAUUCCAAUAUAGACAGACCUCUCUUUGAGGGUGACAAUGAAUUCUGCUUGUGCCUCAAGGAGUCUUUCCCCAACCUGAAAACAAGAAAAUUAACAAGGGUUGAGUGGGGAACAAUCCGGAGACUGAUGGGGAAACCUCGGCGGUGUUCAUCAGCAUUCUUCUCUGAGGAGCGGACAGCGCUGAGGCAGAAGAGGCAGAAGAUGCGCCUGCUGCAGCAGAGGAAGCUGUCUGAUGUGUCUAACUGCAAAGACCUUCCUGAUGAAAUCCCUCUGCCACUCAUCAUAGGAACCAAAGUCACUGCGAGACUCCGAGGCGUCCAUGACGGGUUGUUCACCGGGCAGAUCGAUGCCGUGGACACCAGCGCAGCCACCUAUCGGGUCACCUUCGACCGCAGCGGCCUGGGAACACACACUGUGCCUGACUACGAAGUGUUGAGCAAUGAGCCCAAUGAGACCAUGCCCAUUUCAGCCUUUGCCCAGAAGCACCGGAUAUCACGCUACAUGCAGAACGUCAUGACUCCGCCCAGAGGGCCGUACCCGUCCGCUACUACUCCUGUCCUCAUGGAUAAUGACCCUCUUAUCAACCAGUCCCCGUGGAGGAACAAACUGCCUGGUGCUGAGGGAGAUACACUGGGGGGAUUUCCUGUCAAGUUCCUCGUCCAAGUGACAAGGCUGUCGAAGAUCCUCAUGAUCAAGAAAGAGCACAUCAAGCACUUGAAAGAAAUGAACACGGAGGCAGAGAAACUGGUACAUCAUCAUCAUCAUCAUCAUAAUUUUAGAAAAAGAAGUCGUACUCGAUGCCGAUUGACCUGGACUUCCAGAAGCGAUAUGCAACCACAGUGCUGGAGCUCGAGCAGCUCAAUAAAGAUCUCAACAAGGUGCUUCACGAGGUCCAUCAGUUCUGCUGUGAUCUGGCUCCGGAUCAGGGCAUGGUGCCGGCUGACCAUCCCACACAGCUGCGGCGGCGCUGUGAGGACGAGGCCCAGCAGAUGGUGCAGCUGAGCAACACUCUGAAGGACGGACAGCAGAGUGUGACCAACCCCAGCCUCACACAGCUCAUGUCCCGCCUCACUGCGCUGCUGCUACAGAUCAAGUGUCUGGCUGAUGGAGGAGACUUGAAUUCUUUUGAGUUUAAAUCUCUAACAGACUCCCUAAAUGACAUCAAGGCAUCGAUUGAUCCCUCCAACCUCAGUUGCUUCCAGAACAAUGUUGAGAUCCACGUGGCACACAUCCAGAGCGGCCUUAGUCAGCUGGGCAACCUGCAUGCAUUUUCUGCCAACAACACCAACGCAGUCUGAGUGCCGGCACCACCCACGCCACACACACAGGUGCAUGCACACUCACAGGUGCGGUCCAUUCACAUUGUCUUUUGAGGUGGUGCUUUCACUUGAACUGAUACAUAGACUGCAAACACAAAUAACUCAUGUGGAUGUUAUGGACCAGACGCUUACACUCUGAAUUUGGAUGUCCUGGUGAAACGACUCAGAGUUCUGCCCAGACUCCUGACGUUUUUUCCUGAAGGGAUGAUUUUGUGAGUAUUUUACCCGCCCGUUUUAUUGUAGGAGAAUGUUGGUGCACCCAAUUAAACACAAAUCUGAAAGAGCCUUUAGCUAUUACCACAAAUCCACAUCUACAACCUCUCCAUGGUUAUUUAUUGGUUCCAUGUGCCAAACAUUGAUUUUUACAGUUUUUAUAGUCCAUAUUUAUUUAUUUUUGAGUAGGUGUUCAUCGUUAUCAAAACAAUAUUUUGCUAUCUCUAAAGUUUCCCCCUGUAAGUGUUGUGUUGUGUUGCUCCGCGGAUGUUAAGCACAGGGAGGCUAAAGAAUGUUUUAUAAAAUUGUUUAUUGUAGAUAAGUGUACAAUAUCUCUGAUUAUUAGGACUGUGGUCAACAUUUCUGCUGUGUAAUCAGAAAUGGCUUUUGUAAUUUUGUGUGCACUGAAAAGAGAUUUUGGUAUUUUUAUAAAGGAGAACUCUGGGGGUUUUGAUGCCUUGCUAAAAUGACCUUAGCAUUUCCAUAUUUGGCAUGGCUAUUGCUGCACCCCCCCACCCCCACCCCACCCCACACUAAGCCUGCAUCACUGAUGUAAGCCCAUGAAAUAUUCUAGUCAGCAGUUUUUUCCUAGAGAAUCUCCUUUUUCAGUUUUUGUAAAGUUGUAUAUGAGAGUGCCUCAGGGCAAAUGUAUAUAAAUGUUUCCGUCUUUUUAUAUUAAACAUAAUAUUGCAAAGCA